RNAcentral lists this ribosomal RNA (467 nucleotides) under uncultured bacterium. Its description in RNAcentral is "partial 16S ribosomal RNA". It matches the Rfam family "Bacterial small subunit ribosomal RNA", at positions 28 to 507 of the family's 1533-position model. The record is from RNAcentral.
GACGAACGCUGGCGGCGUGCUUAACACAUGCAAGUCGAACGGAAAGGCCUCUUUCGGGGGGUACUCGAGUGGCGAACGGGUGAGUAACACGUGAGUAACCUGCCCUUGACUUUGGGAUAACUUCAGGAAACUGGGGCUAAUACCGGAUAGGAGCUCCUGCUGCAUGGUGGGGGUUGGAAAGUUUCGGCGGUUGGGGAUGGACUCGCGGCUUAUCAGCUUGUUGGUGGGGUAGUGGCUUACCAAGGCUUUGACGGGUAGCCGGCCUGAGAGGGUGACCGGCCACAUUGGGACUGAGAGACGGCGCAGACACCUACGGGAGGCAGAAGUGGGGAAUAUAGCACAAUGGGUGGAAGAGUGAUGCAGAAAAGCCGUGUGCGGGAUGACAGGCUUCGGGUUGUGAAACGCUUUCGCUCAUGACGAGGCUUUGUGUGACGGUAGUGGGUAAAGAAGCACCGGCUAACUACGUG